Molecule: ribosomal RNA, 223 nt
Filed under: uncultured bacterium
Lineage: Bacteria
Description: partial 16S ribosomal RNA
Rfam family: Bacterial small subunit ribosomal RNA
Source: RNAcentral
ACGCUCGACACCUACGGAGGCAGCAGUAGGGAAUCUUCCACAAUGGACGCAAGUCUGAUGGAGCAACGCCGCGUGAGUGAAGAAGGUCUUCGGAUCGUAAAACUCUGUUGUUAGAGAAGAACACGAGUGAGAGUAACUGUUCAUUCGAUGACGGUAUCUAACCAGCAAGUCACGGCUAACUACGUGCCCAGUAGCCGCGGUAAUCUGAGCGGGCUGGCAAGGC